ACUGGCGCGGAAGCACAAAACUCUAGUAAACAGAAAAAAAAACAAACUAUUCUUUCCCUUCUUGAGAAAAGGGACGGCACAAGAAGGAAAGGUCCCUCUGUUUUUCUCAAGGUUUUUUACGUUCACUAAGGGAAAACUCAUGCGCCCAGAAGGGAGGAAGCAGGGGAAAAUGGCUCCAUCUUCCAUCAUCUCCAGCCACCAUAAUAUCUCAAGUUCCGAUUUAGCCACUUGCCUACCACCGCCCAAUCAUUACAAGUUCCAACUCCUUCGCCGGUCGCCGCCGUAGACCAUCAGUCUCGGGAGGAGCACGUUCUGUUGUCACAGGCUUGGAGUCCCUGGCACACACAUGAUCUUUGGUGAUGAUCAUAGUACGCCCUGUCGAACAGAAUCGAGACGAUGUCGCUGAGCAUGAAUUGCGAUCACACCAAUUCAGAUCACAAACUUUGGCCGACACAUGUUACGCUCACUAACUGGAGCAAUUGUGAUGGCUGGUUGCUAGCCGCCUCCUUGCCACUGAGUCACCCUGCAAUGUCCUCAACCACGCGAUGUCUUGAUACUUUUUAUAAAAUCAAUGUGCGUUACCUCCUUCACAAUACCAGUCUUGUCCUUUGGUUAUUGAUUACUCCACCUUCAUCAAUUUCAUUGUCCAGAAGCAGGUAAUCAAUCUAAGAGCACCCACUAAAAUCACAUUCUAAUUGCGUCAUCUACUUCCUGCUUCAUUCUCUGUGCAUGAUAUAUUCUACUUCACCGCGUGCUGUUGAGGGAAAUCAUGGUCGACAAUCAAUAUGAAGUGAGCAAGUUGUACUUAUUCUCUGUCUUUAGUUGAUAAGCUUUUGCCUAUGGCAAUCAAUGAAUGAACUAGUUAAUAGCUUGCUCAGAAUUAGUGAAUGAGGAUCUACUUCUUUUCUUGGAAGCGUGAUGUCGUCACUUUGUCUCCAGUAGUGGGAAGAGUUUAUUGUUCUUUUUGAACUUGCAUAAGAAUCAAUGGAA
Long non-coding RNA from Eucalyptus grandis, 990 nucleotides. RefSeq lists it as uncharacterized. The transcript has 2 exons. The record is from RefSeq and is a predicted model, not a curated record. NCBI's taxonomy places the organism in Eukaryota, Viridiplantae, Streptophyta, Magnoliopsida, Myrtales, Myrtaceae.